CAGUCGCCGCGGGAAUACGUAGGGUGCGAGCGUUAAUCGGAAUUACUGGGCGUAAAGCGUGCGCAGGCGGUUCGUUAAGACAGAUGUGAAAUCCCCGGGCUUAACCUGGGAACUGCAUUUGUGACUGGCCGGCUAGAGUAUGGCAGAGGGAGGUGGAAUUCCACGUGUAGCAGUGAAAUGCGUAGAUAUGUGGAGAAACACCGAUGGCGAAGGCAGCCUCCUGGGCCAAUACUGACGCUCAUGCACGAAAGCGUGGGGAGCAAACAGGAUUAGAUACCCCCGUAGUCCCUGUCUCUUAUAC
This 301-nucleotide ribosomal RNA is filed under the name uncultured bacterium. RNAcentral describes it as "partial 16S ribosomal RNA". It matches the Rfam family "Bacterial small subunit ribosomal RNA", at positions 509 to 807 of the family's 1533-position model. The record is from RNAcentral.